This 305-nucleotide ribosomal RNA is filed under the name uncultured bacterium. RNAcentral's name for it is "bacterial SSU rRNA". It matches the Rfam family "Bacterial small subunit ribosomal RNA", at positions 335 to 656 of the family's 1533-position model. The record is from RNAcentral.
UUGCCUACGGGAGGCAGCAGUGGGGGAUAUUGGACAAUGGGGGAAACCCUGAUCCAGCGACGCCGCGUGGGUGAAGAAGUACUUCGGUAUGUAAAGCCCUAUCGGCAGGGAAGAAUUUAGACGGUACCUGACUAAGAAGCCCCGGCUAACUACGUGCCAGCAGCCGCGGUAAUACGUAGGGGGCAAGCGUUAUCCGGAUUUACUGGGUGUAAAGGGAGCGUAGACGGCCAGACAAGUCUGAAGUGAAAAUCCAGCGCUUAACGUUGGAAGUGCUUUGGAAACUGCCGGGCUAGAGUUCAGGAGGG